This 462-nucleotide ribosomal RNA is filed under the name uncultured bacterium. RNAcentral's name for it is "partial 16S ribosomal RNA". It matches the Rfam family "Bacterial small subunit ribosomal RNA", at positions 28 to 507 of the family's 1533-position model. The record is from RNAcentral.
GACGAACGCUGGCGGCGUGCUUAACACAUGCAAGUCGAACGGUGAAGCCCUUCGGGGUGGAUCAGUGGCGAACGGGUGAGUAACACGUGAGCAACCUGCCCCUGGCUCUGGGACAACCACUGGAAACGGUGGCUAAUACCGGAUACGACCCGCCUCGGCAUCGAGUGUGGGUGGAAAGUUUUUCGGCUGGGGAUGGGCUCGCGGCCUAUCAGCUUGUUGGUGAGGUGAAGGCUCACCAAGGCGACGACGGGUAGCCGGCCUGAGAGGGCGACCGGCCACACUGGGACUGAGACACGGCCCAGACUCCUACGGGAAGCAGCAGUGGGGAAUAUUGCACAAUGGGCGAAAGCCUGAUGCAGCGACGCCGCGUGAGGGAUGACGGCCUUCGGGUUGUAAACCUCUUUCAGCUCCGAAGAAGCGAAAGUGACGGUAGGAGCAGAAGAAGCACCGGCUAACUACGUG